UACAGAGGGUGCGAGCGUUAAUCGGAAUUACUGGGCGUAAAGGGUGCGUAGGUGGUUGCAUAAGUUAGGUGUGAAAGUCCUGGGCUUAACCUGGGGACUGCGCCUAAGACUGUGUGGCUAGAGUACUGUAGAGGAAGGUGGAAUUUCCAGUGUAGCGGUGAAAUGCGUAGAUAUUGGAAGGAACAUCGGUGGCGAAGGCGACUUUCUGGACAGAUACUGACACUGAGGCACGAGAGCAUGGGGAGCAAACAGG
This 253-nucleotide ribosomal RNA is filed under the name uncultured bacterium. Its description in RNAcentral is "partial 16S ribosomal RNA". It matches the Rfam family "Bacterial small subunit ribosomal RNA", at positions 524 to 776 of the family's 1533-position model. The record is from RNAcentral.